CAGUCGCCACGGUAAUACGAAGGGGGCUAGCGUUGUUCGGAAUGACUGGGCGUAAAGGGCGCGUAGGCGGCGGCCAAAGUCAGGCGUGAAAUUCCCGGGCUCAACCUGGGGGCUGCGUUUGAUACUUGGUUGCUUGAGUGGGGAAGAGGGUCGUGGAAUUCCCAGUGUAGAGGUGAAAUUCGUAGAUAUUGAGAAGAACACCGGUGGCGAAGGCGGCGACCUGGUCCUUUACUGACGCUGAGGCGCGAAAGCGUGGGGAGCAAACAGGAUUAGAUACCCCGGUAGUCCCUGUCUCUUAUAC
Molecule: ribosomal RNA, 301 nt
Filed under: uncultured bacterium
Lineage: Bacteria
Description: partial 16S ribosomal RNA
Rfam family: Bacterial small subunit ribosomal RNA
Source: RNAcentral